Molecule: unclassified non-coding RNA, 376 nt
Filed under: uncultured bacterium
Lineage: Bacteria
Description: contains 16S-23S intergenic spacer region
Source: RNAcentral
UCGCGGCUUAUCACCGGCAGUCUCCUUAGAGUGCUCAACUAAAUGGUAGCAACUAAGGACGGGGGUUGCGCUCGUUGCGGGACUUAACCCAACAUCUCACGACACGAGCUGACGACAGCCAUGCAGCACCUGUACACCCACCACAAGGGGGCCUGUAUCUCUACAGGUUUCGAGUGCAUGUCAAGCCCAGGUAAGGUUCUUCGCGUUGCAUCGAAUUAAUCCACAUACUCCACCGCUUGUGCAGGCCCCCGUCAAUUCCUUUGAGUUUUAGCCUUGCGGCCGUACUCCCCAGGCGGGGCGCUUAAUGCGUUAGCUUCGGCACGGACGGAGUCGACACCGCCCACACCUAGCGCCCAUCGUUUACGGCGUGGACUAC